RNAcentral lists this long non-coding RNA (323 nucleotides) under Homo sapiens (human). Its description in RNAcentral is "HSALNT0364729". The record is from RNAcentral. Lineage: Eukaryota; Metazoa; Chordata; Mammalia; Primates; Hominidae.
CGGCUGAGCAUUGUGAGGAACACGUCGGCAGAGGAAGAUACAAGCCACUGGUCAUCGAGGGCACACUGGCAGAAGAGCACGCCAACAGGCACUAGCAGGUCGACAAGCCGGGCCAUAGACUGGUGGAAUGACGCGAAGUUUUCCAGGGGAAAACCAUCUCCCUUCUGGCUCCCCCAUCUGCUAAGAGUUACUUCUACUCAAUAAGACCUUGUACUCAUUCUCUAAGCCCGUGUGUGCUCCAAUUCUCCUGGUACACCAAGACUCUGAUAACUUCAAGAGAUCCUAUGGAAAAUCCACUAACAAAAUAGUAACGUUUGUGAAAA